This 579-nucleotide ribosomal RNA is filed under the name Paenibacillus sp. EKM208P. RNAcentral describes it as "partial 23S ribosomal RNA". It matches the Rfam family "Bacterial large subunit ribosomal RNA", at positions 2238 to 2816 of the family's 2925-position model. The record is from RNAcentral. Lineage: Bacteria; Bacillati; Bacillota; Bacilli; Caryophanales; Paenibacillaceae.
AUCCGGUGCGAGGACAGUGUCAGGUGGGCAGUUUGACUGGGGCGGUCGCCUCCUAAAGAGUAACGGAGGCGCCCCAAGGUUCCCUCAGAAUGGUUGGAAAUCAUUCGAAGAGUGCAAAGGCAGAAGGGAGCUUGACUGCGAGACCUACAAGUCGAGCAGGGACGAAAGUCGGGCUUAGUGAUCCGGUGGUACCGCAUGGAAGGGCCAUCGCUCAACGGAUAAAAGCUACCCUGGGGAUAACAGGCUUAUCUCCCCCAAGAGUCCACAUCGACGGGGAGGUUUGGCACCUCGAUGUCGGCUCAUCGCAUCCUGGGGCUGAAGUAGGUCCCAAGGGUUGGGCUGUUCGCCCAUUAAAGCGGUACGCGAGCUGGGUUCAGAACGUCGUGAGACAGUUCGGUCCCUAUCUGUCGUGGGCGUAGGAAAUUUGAGAGGAGCUGUCCUUAGUACGAGAGGACCGGGAUGGACGUACCGCUGGUGUACCAGUUGUUCCGCCAGGAGCACCGCUGGGUAGCUAUGUACGGAAGGGAUAAGCGCUGAAAGCAUCUAAGCGUGAAGCCCCCCUCAAGAUGAGAUUUCCCA